This 86-nucleotide transfer RNA is filed under the name Nematostella vectensis (starlet sea anemone). It matches the Rfam family "tRNA". Rfam says of the family: Transfer RNA (tRNA) molecules are approximately 80 nucleotides in length. Their secondary structure includes four short double-helical elements and three loops (D, anti-codon, and T loops). Lineage: Eukaryota; Metazoa; Cnidaria; Anthozoa; Actiniaria; Edwardsiidae. The record is from Rfam by way of RNAcentral.
GCCUCGUUAGCGCAAUAGGCAGCGCGUCAGUCUCAUAAUCAAAUCUAGAAAUCUGAAGGUCGUGAGUUCGAUCCUCACACGGGUCA